This 23-nucleotide microRNA is filed under the name Centruroides sculpturatus (bark scorpion). Its description in RNAcentral is "Csc-Mir-5305-P10_3p (mature (guide))". Lineage: Eukaryota; Metazoa; Arthropoda; Arachnida; Scorpiones; Buthidae. The record is from RNAcentral.
UUGGGCUUGAAGAUUAAUUUAGA